RNAcentral lists this long non-coding RNA (362 nucleotides) under Salvia miltiorrhiza (redroot sage). RNAcentral describes it as "long non-coding RNA (SMIL_LNC001540)". Lineage: Eukaryota; Viridiplantae; Streptophyta; Magnoliopsida; Lamiales; Lamiaceae. The record is from RNAcentral.
UUAUUGCAUGUAAUAUCACAAAUUUUGAAGAAAAUCAAUUUUCCCCACAAACUUAAAAAAUUCCACAAAUUAUCAAAUACUUUCAAAACUGUUCAAACUCCCCAUGUCAACUUUCAUGAUAAUUACAAAUCUACCCUGCAUUCAUACAAAUUAUAGAAAAAUCCCCAUAUAUGUUCAAUAUUCGUAUAAAAUUUAAAAAGAACCCCAACAUGAUAUUAUUUUAGGCAAAAUUAUCCUCAUGAAUUUUUCUACAAUUAUAAAGCAAUUUUAUAAAAUCAUAAAAAAGGCCCAACAUGCUUCCGUAUCAUUUCAAAAUUAAUCUAAACAUAAACCAACUUUAUACCUUUAGUCGAAUGGUUUUC